AUUGAACGCUGGCGGCAGGCCUAACACAUGCAAGUCGAACGGUAACAGGAAGCAGCUUGCUGCUUUGCUGACGAGUGGCGGACGGGUGAGUAAUGUCUGGGAAACUGCCUGAUGGAGGGGGAUAACUACUGGAAACGGUAGCUAAUACCGCAUAACGUCGCAAGACCAAAGAGGGGGACCUUAGGGCCUCUUGCCAUCGGAUGUGCCCAGAUGGGAUUAGCUAGUAGGUGGGGUAACGGCUCACCUAGGCGACGAUCCCUAGCUGGUCUGAGAGGAUGACCGGCCAACCGGGAACUGGGACACGGGCCAGGCUCCUACGGGGGGCAGCAGGGGGGAAUAUUGCACAAGGGGCGGAAGCCUGAUGCAGCCAGGGCGGGGGGAUGAAGAAGGCCUGCGGGUGGUAAAGUAUUUUCCGGGGGGAGGAAGGGAGUAAAGUUAAAACCUUUGCUCAUUGACGUUACCCGCAGAAGAAGCACCGGCUAACCCCGG
This 489-nucleotide ribosomal RNA is filed under the name uncultured bacterium. RNAcentral's name for it is "partial 16S ribosomal RNA". It matches the Rfam family "Bacterial small subunit ribosomal RNA", at positions 29 to 506 of the family's 1533-position model. The record is from RNAcentral.